GUUCCUUUGGGGGCAUCCGUUAAAAUUAGAACAAUGCCGAGAACAUUAGCCUUACCCCUCAUCGAGGAUGACACGCACGAUGGUCCAAUUUUUU
This 94-nucleotide small nuclear RNA is filed under the name Amborella trichopoda. The record is from RNAcentral. Lineage: Eukaryota; Viridiplantae; Streptophyta; Magnoliopsida; Amborellales; Amborellaceae.